Molecule: long non-coding RNA, 414 nt
Organism: Mustela erminea (ermine)
Lineage: Eukaryota; Metazoa; Chordata; Mammalia; Carnivora; Mustelidae
Exons: 3
Source: RefSeq, a predicted model, not a curated record
AUGUGGGGCUGGAACUCACAACCUCAAGAUCGAGAGUGGCAUCCUCUACCGAAUGAGCCAGCCAGGAGCCCCUGUAAAUCUACUUUUUGAACUGUAAAUUUUAUGACAUCUAAACACAGAUCAAGUAUUUCCAGUGACUACUUGGCUUUCAAAUUGAGAUUCCUCAACUCCCUUCCUGGAAAAAUAUAACAGAUGAAAUUCUGAGAAGGAGAAAGGUGGUGCUGGUCAAGGAAAGCAUUAUAGAGAAGGUCAGUCAUGCCACCAAGGAAGGAGAACAGAGGCUGUUUCUAGAAUACAGGCUGUACGUGCCAUGGAGCACAGCGGAGACCGGAGACCGCCAGCCUGUAGCAGCGGCAGGAAUCGAUCCUGACAGUGCAGGAAAGAAACUAACAAAGUACAUGGCUCACCUCUAAU